Molecule: ribosomal RNA, 552 nt
Filed under: uncultured eukaryote
Lineage: Eukaryota
Description: SSU rRNA
Rfam family: Eukaryotic small subunit ribosomal RNA
Source: RNAcentral
CUGGUUGAUCCUGCCAGUAGUCAUAUGCUUGUCUCAAAGACUAAGCCAUGCAUGUCUAAGUAUAAAUGUUAUACAGUGAAACUGCGAAUGGCUCAUUAAAACAGUUAUAGUUUAUUUGAUAAUCGAAUUUACAUGGAUAACCGUGGUAAUUCUAGAGCUAAUACAUGCUGUUAAGCCCAACUUUUCGGAAGGGCUGUAUUUAUUAGAUAACAAGCCAAUAUUCUUCGUGUCUAUUGUGAUGAUUCAUAAUAACUGAUCGAAUCGCAUGGCUCAUGGCCGCGAUACAUCAUUCAAGUUUCUGCCCCAUCAGCUUUCGAUGGUAGUGUAUUGGACUACCAUGGCUUUAACGGGUAACGGAGGAUUAGGGUUCGAUUCCGGAGAGGGAGCCUGAGAAACGGCUACCACAUCUAAGGAAGGCAGCAGGCGCGUAAAUUACCCAAUCCUAAUUCAGGGAGGUAGUGACAAGAAAUAACGGACAGAGGCUUCGUGCUUCUGGAUUGCAAUGAGCACAAUUUAAACCCCUUAGCAAGGAUCAAGGGGGGCAAGUCUGGU